UAUGAAAUGGCAGAAUUAAUGCAUAAACUUUAAGCGUUUAGCAUGACCACCUAGGUCUUUCAUAG
This 65-nucleotide transfer RNA is filed under the name Ceratodoris hiroi. RNAcentral's name for it is "Okenia hiroi tRNA-Leu". The record is from RNAcentral. Lineage: Eukaryota; Metazoa; Mollusca; Gastropoda; Nudibranchia; Goniodorididae.